AAUUGUUAUUUUGGCAGAGUAGUGUAUUAAAUUUAGAAUUUAAAAAUGUAUUUAUAUACAAAUAAUAC
This 68-nucleotide transfer RNA is filed under the name Limnebius gracilipes. RNAcentral's name for it is "transfer RNA-Leu". The record is from RNAcentral. Lineage: Eukaryota; Metazoa; Arthropoda; Insecta; Coleoptera; Hydraenidae.